RNAcentral lists this unclassified non-coding RNA (253 nucleotides) under uncultured Gammaproteobacteria bacterium. RNAcentral describes it as "contains 16S-23S intergenic spacer region". It matches the Rfam family "Bacterial small subunit ribosomal RNA", at positions 524 to 776 of the family's 1533-position model. The record is from RNAcentral. Lineage: Bacteria; Pseudomonadati; Pseudomonadota; Gammaproteobacteria.
UACAGAGGGUGCGAGCGUUAAUCGGAAUUACUGGGCGUAAAGCGCGCGUAGGCGGUUUAUUAAGUCAGCUGUGAAAGCCCUGGGCUUAACCUGGGAAUUGCAGUUGAUACUGGUAAGCUAGAGUGUGGUAGAGGGUGGCGGAAUUCCAGGUGUAGCGGUGAAAUGCGUAGAUAUCUGGAGGAACAUCAGUGGCGAAGGCGGCCACCUGGACCAACACUGACGCUGAGGUGCGAAAGCGUGGGGAGCAAACAGG